Long non-coding RNA from Perca fluviatilis (European perch), 918 nucleotides. RefSeq lists it as uncharacterized. NCBI's taxonomy places the organism in Eukaryota, Metazoa, Chordata, Actinopteri, Perciformes, Percidae. The record is from RefSeq and is a predicted model, not a curated record. The transcript is spliced from 3 exons.
CAAGGCUAGGUUAUGAAAACAAAUUUCCUCAUUCAUUUUGACAACAUCCUUUAACAAUUUGAACAAUGACAGACCAUGCUUCUGUCUUCACUCAUGAUGUUCCAAUUUCCUUUUGUUUAUGGAAAGGUUAUUGCAUUCAUUAUAAUAGUAACGCUCUCUAGCACACCUCUGGCUUCAUUCUGACACAUCUAAGAGGUUAUCACUUUUUCAAAUAAGAUAAGAUAAGUGUUUUUUUUAAGAUAUUCUGGUUAUUCAUUAUUCAGCGGGUCAAUAAUUCAGUCCAAACACUGUCAGAUGACACAUGCUCUUUCAACCUCAGAACUUCUCACCUUCCCACCAUGCUUCAUCUGUUCACCUGUUUCUUGCUCCUGCCAUUCACCCGACUUUGAUGUACAGUAACUCUAUACGUCUAUUCCACUACAUCUUGGAGGUAUCUCUCGCAUCAUGCAAGCAGCUGAGUGUACCACAAGAUGGCAGUCUGAAUUCUGGAGCUGCCAUGUGGUUUAGACACACAGCUGUUGAAGUCUAAUCAGCCCUCCCUCUGCCCAUCCCUAUUCACAUCCACUUACCCUCUUUCCCCCCCUAUCAUCUCAGUCUUGUGCACCUCUCCAAUCUCUCCUUUUCCAGGUACUGUCUGGGGCCCGUAAAUUAAUUUGGGUGACUCAGCUCCCAAGAUGGAUCCCCAACACAGAGUCGCCUCCUCCCUGGCCUUCAAUAUAUCAAUCCUGAACCGGCAUAAAAUGGACAACUUCCUCCCCCACACUCAUUCAUCUUCAACAUCCAAUAAUUCUUAAUUUCAUUAAAAUCACAUUGUUGUGGUUGAAACCAAUGUGUGUGUUUAUGCAUUUCUACAACACUCCCUCCACCUGCAUGUAUCCAAAUCAUUGUCUAUACAAAUAAAUGGUUUCUUGACUCAGA